Molecule: non-coding RNA, 45 nt
Filed under: Schistosoma margrebowiei
Lineage: Eukaryota; Metazoa; Platyhelminthes; Trematoda; Strigeidida; Schistosomatidae
Source: RNAcentral
AUCAAGCUGACGAGUCCCAAAAAGGACGAAUCGCGCGUCCUGGAU